This 83-nucleotide ribosomal RNA is filed under the name Glaucium squamigerum. RNAcentral's name for it is "partial 5.8S ribosomal RNA". It matches the Rfam family "5.8S ribosomal RNA", at positions 73 to 154 of the family's 154-position model. From Rfam's summary of the family: 5.8S ribosomal RNA (5.8S rRNA) is a component of the large subunit of the eukaryotic ribosome. It is transcribed by RNA polymerase I as part of the 45S precursor that also contains 18S and 28S rRNA. Functionally, it is thought that 5.8S rRNA may be involved in ribosome translocation. The record is from RNAcentral. Lineage: Eukaryota; Viridiplantae; Streptophyta; Magnoliopsida; Ranunculales; Papaveraceae.
UGCAGAAUCCCGUAACCAUCGAGUUUUUGAACGCAAGUUGCGCCCUAAGCCAUCCGGCUGAGGGCACGCCUGCCUGGGCGUCA